CCAUUCCUGAAGAGUGCGUUGAAGCAACAAAGGAAUACAUCCAUGGCGAACAAUAUAGAUCAGACUCCAAAACAGUUAACCAACAAGCUUACUUUUAUGCCAGAGACCUCGAAGUCCAUCCCAAGGACACAUUUGUGUUCAGUAUAGAUGGCACCGUACUCUCUAAUAUUCCAUACUACAAAAAACAUGGAUAUGGGUAUUAUGCUCUUAGUUAAUUUUCUUCUAAUACUCUCUUUUUCCGUUUUUGCUAUUACUAGGUUACUCCCUUAUAUGCGCAUCAUUUAUUUUCAACUAUUUUUGGUAUUGAUCGAGUUUCGGUGUUUGGCCCGACUAACAACAUUAAGGUUUCUCAUCACAUGCAUGUAGAUUUGAAACCUUCAUUAUAUAUGACAUUUUAUGAUUAGAUAUAAUAUAAAGAAAAAGUUUCAUUGUGAGUGCAUAAAUAUAUAUAUAUACAGACACAGGCACAUACAUGCUUUCAGGAUCGUGUUCAUUGUUCUUAAUGCAAUAUUUUAUGUGAUAGGGUGGAGAAAUUUAACUCGACCUUGUAUGAUGAAUGGGUUAACAAGGGCAAUGCACCGGCACUGCCCGAGACUCUUAAGAAUUACAACAAGCUGGUGUCUCUUGGCUUCAAGAUUAUAUUCUUGUCAGGAAGAACACUGGACAAACAGGCCGUAACAGAAGCAAACUUAAAGAAGGCUGGCUACCACACAUGGGAAAAAUUAAUUCUCAAGUCAGUUUUCUUUUUUCUCUAUACUAUAUUCUCAAGUCAAUUAAUUCUCAACGUUGCACCAAAUCUGCCAGGAAGGAACAGUUUAUAGAUAAUCAGAAAUUAUAUAAUUAUUUUAAGUACAUGGUGCGAUAUGAGUUUGAAAUACUAGUAGCUAAUUGGAUCUAUUUUUGGUUGGUGCAGGGAUCCACAAGAUCCUUCCACUCCAAAUGCAGUUUCAUACAAAACAGCAGCGAGAGAGAAACUGAUAAGGCAGGGAUACAACAUUGUUGGGAUCAUUGGAGACCAAUGGAGCGAUCUCCUCGGAGGCCACAGAGGCGAAAGCAGGACCUUUAAGCUUCCUAAUCCCCUGUACUACAUUCAGUAGUUCCUUCACCUCUCAACAAUCUAGCUUGCUCCUAUCUAUCUAUAUGUAAUAAGAUGCGUUCAAAUAGGGGCACUAGCUUCACUUUAUGUUGUUUCAGCUGUGUGUCAACAAGUCAUGUAAGAGACUUCACUAUGUUGUUUUCUCUUUCGUGGCUUUAAUAAAUUAUGCGCCCUUGUUCCAUACUUUGAUCUUUUCUUUUCUUUUCUUUUUCUUUUUAAGUCAAAGUAAUUCAUUAUUAUCAAACUAAUGAAAAAUACUAACCAAUAUCCUAAGAGAAUUGGUUAAAGAAUUUAAAAUAAUAAUAUUUUUAUUAAGAGACACAAAAUUAUGUUAUUUAUAAAUUUUUUUUAUUUUCAUAUAACUUACACAAUUAAUAUUUUUGUCUUUUAGUUUUAUAACAAAUGUCUUAAAAACACUAAUUAAAAAGAUUCUUUAAAAAAUAGUCUUAAGAAAAUCUGAGGAACUUAGCUAGGUUUUACAAACUAAUAUAAAAUGUGAAUUAAAUAUAUUUUUUCCAUUUAAUAAUUUAGUAUUUUUUUUCAUCCAUUACAUUAUUUUGAAUAAUAAAAAAUAUUAUAAAGUGUUUUAAGGAUGAAAAAUAAAAGAAUAUAUUUUAAAUAAAAUAAAAAAGAAAUUUGCAGGAAAAAAAUAUCUAAAAGAUAAAGAUUUUAUAAAAUCGAGAUCGGGAAAGAAGUGCACAAAAUCGACGUCGUGAAAGAAGUGCACAAAAUCGACGUCGUCUAUUACACCAUAUAAUUACACUGUGAACCGACAGUUGGUAUUAACACAAUGGCCCAAUAGAGUAGACCGAGAAAUAAUUAUCUGACAAAUAUACUGUUCACUAAAAACAAAAAAAUGAUGAGAAAGCCUGAAAAUUACACUAUAUAUAUAUAUAUAUAUAUAUAUAUAUAUAUAUAUAUAUAUAUAUAUAUAUAUAUAUGAAAUAUAAUAACUUUAUACUAUCAUUUAAUUAAAAAUAAUUAUUUAAAUUAUUUUAAAAUAAUUAUUUUAAAAAUCAAUAAAUUUAUCAUACAUAAUAAAUAUUUAAUAUAAAUAUUGAUUAAAUGAUUAUAUAAAAAAUUUAUACUAUCUUUGUAUAAUCCUUUUUUCAUAUAAAAAUAUUAGUGAAUGGUGUUUUGAGUUUCAAAAUUUUAUAAAAUUUCGUUUUAAUUUCUAAUUUAUAAAUAUUACUCUUUUAAUAUACCCUUUAAUUUCUAAUUUUAAAAAUAUUACUCCUAAUACAGAGAAAUUUUAGUUUUAAAAUUCCAAAAUCGAGUAGUUUUGAUUUCUAUAUUUUUUGAAAUAUACAUAUUUGGUCCCUGUAUAAGAUAGAAAAACAUUAGUUUUAUAUAUUACGUUUGGAUAUUUUUUAUAAAAAAAAUCAACCAUGAAAAAUAUUCAUUUUAAAAGUCAGAACUCAGAAUCAAAAUUCAAAGUUUAGAAACUUUUUAAGUAAAAACAUUGUUAACCCAUUAAAAUGUUGUCAUCACAUACAUGUAACUAAUGCUAAAUUUAAUUACGUUUAUCUUUUAUUAUAUAUAAACAUCUUAAAAAUCUAUUAAAAAAUACUAGGUACAAUCACACUCAUUUAACUAUAUAUUUUUUAUUGAUGAUGCUAUUUUUUUGGUAUUUUGGGGUUGCUGAAGAACUUGACGGUUUUUGUCUACAACCCUCCUCUAACCUAAAAAAAUAAAUUGGUUGGCGAGAGUAUUGCAGCAAACAUUUGCUGGAGUAUGUUUGACGCUUAAGAAGCUUUUGAAUUAAAAUAUAAAUCUCACAAAAAUAUAUAAAUUUAUCCUUUAAUAUUAUAUCUCUUCUCUUUAUCCAAGACACCAAAAGUCUCUUGCAACUUUAGCACUGUUAGCGACUUUCUGACAAUUAGUCACGCGCACUCCCUCAUUGUGUCUGUACUCUGGAGUCAAACUCAUCCAUUUUGGAAGCGAAAUAAUGCUUUUGGGUGAAAAAAUUAUCUCUCAUGCUUUAGUCCGUGUACUGUUUGGACUUUGGAGUGUAUGAUUUUAUAUUAACUUUAUAUUACUUUUUCUGCUUUUGGGUGUGGAAAAAAUUAUCUCUAAUGCUUUGUUUGUUUCAAUGCACGGAAUGAUUUAGAGAGAUGGAAAAUAACUUCAUAUUUUGUCCCUGUACCGUUUGGACUUUGGAGUAUAUUGAGAAAGAAAGGAAUAAAAGUAUCAGUUUGUGGUUCCAUAUUAACUUUAUAUAUCGUCUAAUUUAGAACGAAAAGGAGUAUUUUCUAUACAAAGAUAAAAAUAUUAUUAUUUACAAUAUAUCUCAUGUUUUACUAUUAUUAUUAAAAUAUAGACAUUAUCUUUUUCUGCUUUCAUUUUUUUGUCAUAAAAUAACAUAAAAAAAUCAUUUUGUUUUGAUAUUAAACCCAACCAUGCAUUCUCCACAACAACCCAACUAUACUUUACUUUUAAAAUAUAAACUAUAGAGAUAUGCCGUCGAUUUUUUAAAGGCUUGUAUUUUUAGUCCCAGGUAAAUUAAUGUUUUUUUAUGUAAUUUUAUUUUUUUAAUUUUAGUUUUUGUAAUUUGUGACUUUUUAUUUUUGAUUUUUUAAGAUAUUUUAUUUAUUUUUAAUUUUUGCAUGUUUAUAUUUUUUUUAAUUUUGAUCCCAUAAUAUUAUAACUUUUUUAUUUAUAGUCACCCUAAAUUCAUGUUUAUAGAGACUAAAAUUAGAAAAACAUAAAUUUAUAUUAACUAAAAAUGAACAAAAUACUUUAUAAAUAUUAAAAUUGAAAAAUAUAAACUUAUAAGGAUUAAAAUUAAAAAAUUUAGAGAAUACAAAAAUAAAAAUACACUAAUUUACAGAGAAAAAAUCAUAUUUAAAUCGUUUUUAAAUAUAAAAUCUCUAUCUAUUUUAUUGGAGAUCAUGGGCAUUUAUUUAGUCUCUAUCUAUUUUAUUAGUUAGGUGACUAGAGUGGACCCAAAAGAUAUCUAUGGAUUUGAAACAUAUACUGAACUAUUAAGUAAAAAGUAAAUCAUGAAAUAUUAUACACAUUAAAAAAUUAAAAAUUAAAAAAAUAGAGGACCAGAACCCCAACCAUCUAAGUAAAUUUGUCCACAAUAAUAAAUAUAUCAUUAUUUAAAGUCUUAAAGAAAGAAGACCCAAAUAAAUAUAAUGUAGAAGUAGAACACAUAAAUAACCCCAAAAAUCUGCUAGUUUUACUGUGGGUUGCGUUUCCUAUGGUACCGUGGGGGUAACACAAAAAGCGACUGUCUGCAACAAUAAUGAAUCUGCACAUGGAUAAGUGUCAGGUACAGCAGAAGACAUACACAACACAUAAAUAAUUUACUGAAUAUAAAUAAUUAAUAUGUUAAAGUUAAAUUAAAUUGUUUAAAUAUUAUUUGAAUUUUAUUUUUAAUAAAAGUAAUUUUUUAUUUAUUUAUUGUCUAAACUUUGAAUUAGUCUCUUUCCCUAUUGAACCCAAAAGUAAAAAAAAUAAAAAUGCACAGCAAGAACCAAAACAUGCGGAUAUUCACCAAUAAUGUGGCAAUUGAAUUGAAUCUCAGGGCCAGUAUGUUUCUUACAAACUACACAAAACGUUAAAAAGAUGGAGCCAUGCAUUUGACCCAUACGUACCCACCCCAAUCUAACAAUCCAAACCUAAUAACGAUGGUCAGCACCGCACCAGCUUCAUAGUAAAAUGAGUUACAAUUUUAUACUAUAUUUAAUAAAAAGUAAAUCAAAAUUUGAAAAUCAAAACUUUAAUAAUAUUAAGGUAUGUUUGGAUCAAUUUCUCCAUAAACGCUUCUGGAAGAUAAAUAAAAAAACAACUUUUUAUAAUUUAAAAUUAAUUUCUGUAUGGACCAAUUCUAGAAGUUGUAUCACAUAAGUUUUUUAAUAGAAGAUCUUUAAUUUAUGCAUAAACUAAUUGAUGAAGAAUUUUUUUUAUUUUUUUCUAAUUCUAGAAGUGUUUUCGAAUAUAUUUAUCUAAACAUACUUAUAUUAAUUAAAAAAUAGAAGUGGUCAUGAAAGUUACGGGUUAGAUAUAAUAUUAAUAAAAAAAAUAUAAUUUAUACAUCACAUGUGCUGAUUUUAAAAAGUUUUUUUCAAAUAAUUAAAAUCGUAGAUAACUAUUACGAUAUUUCAUUCUUUAAAAUAAAAUAUAAAAGUAAAGUUAUUUUAUUUUGUUUAAUUUUUUUACACUAUUUUUAUACUUAAAAUAACAAGUUGUACGUUAUUAUUCACACCUAUGACUCUACAUUUAAAAGUCCUGAAUGUGAGUUCUUAUGUUAAGAAUUUAUUCAACUUUUACACUAUCUCAAUAAUUUUGAAAUUAAUUAAUUACCACUUUGUGGUAAACAAAGCCGAGUUUCAUGAUUAGAAAGUAAAAGGUAAAAGUAAAACAAUUUCACGUUCAAAACAAAAAAAAAUGUAAAAAACAAAUUGUACAAAAAUUUCGUGUUUCGCGACUACCAAGGAAGAGUUAUCGCUGCUGCCUCUUGCUUUCAGCCACACAAAUUGCAGAGGGCAUGGCACACAAAUUGUCAAGUCCUUGUCUCGGCCUGGAACACGAGGGAAACGCAACAACACGGUACAUAUAUACUUGGAUUCAGGAGUGGGUUUUUUUCCCUCUUCAUUUUUUUUCAUUAUAUUAUAUAAAAUUUAUUUUAAUUGGUUUUAAAAUUACUUAUUUAUUAAAUUAAUUUUUUUAAUUUUGUUUUUAAUUAAUUUUUUUAAUAAGAAAAUUGUAUUAUUAAAAAUAAUUAUUUUUAUUUUAUUAUUUAAUUUACUUAACAUAUUUUUUUAGGUGAAUAUUUUUUUAACAAUCUGAAUUUUGUAAUAUAAUUAUAUUACUAAAUAUGAUUAGUUUGUUUAUGUCAUUAAAUUUAAUUAAAAAUGAUAAAACUUUUUGUUUAACAAUUUAUUUAUAAAAGAACUUUAUAUUGCAUUAUCAAUAAAAUACUUAAACAAUUAAGAAUGAUAAGACUUUCUGUUAUAAUCAUGUUGUCGGUAAAUUAAAUAUUUUUUUCUACUUUUCCUUAUUCGUCCAUCUCAUGGGAAUGCGAGUUGAAACGGGAUGACCCGUUGUAGUUUUCUUCAUCCUUGGAUUAGAACCUCACUGAACUCCUUCGUAUUCUUGCCACGUUGAUUCGUGUGGGAGUAAAUCAAAAGAGUUGUCAUAGACGUGCCAAAUGUGUUGUAGAGUGAAGACAUGUAUCCCCACAUUGAUCAUGCACAAUAGAAAUUGGUUAUCUUCAAUAAACUAGUCAUCGAAAUAGAAGAAGACCUGUNNNNNNNNNNNNNNNNNNNNNNNNNNNNNNNNNNNNNNNNNNNNNNNNNNNNNNNNNNNNNNNNNNNNNNNNNNNNNNNNNNNNNNNNNNNNNNNNNNNNNNNNNNNNNNNNNNNNNNNNNNNNNNNNNNNNNNNNNNNNNNNNNNNNNNNNNNNNNNNNNNNNNNNNNNNNNNNNNNNNNNNNNNNNNNNNNNNNNNNNNNNNNNNNNNNNNNNNNNNNNNNNNNNNNNNNNNNNNNNNNNNNNNNNNNNNNNNNNNNNNNNNNNNNNNNNNNNNNNNNNNNNNNNNNNNNNNNNNNNNNNNNNNNNNNNNNNNNNNNNNNNNNNNNNNNNNNNNNNNNNNNNNNNNNNNNNNNNNNNNNNNNNUAAAAAAUAUAUGAUAUAAUAUUAUAUUUAUAAUAUUUAAACUAUAAAAAAAUACCAAAGUAUGGAAGUCGGGAUGAUCAAACCCAAUUUCCAACAAGCAUUCCAAAAAUAGUGCCCUACAUGAAUAAAAGAAGAAAGUGAUGUAGAUUGGGAAAAAAAGUGGAAAGAGAAAGUGCAUUGACGAAAAAAAACCAAAUGUAAAGAAUUACUACCUAACAACAUUGUCAACCAACAUGGUUUGGUUAUGAUUAGCAUAUAUAUUCCUGUCUUUAAAAUAUGUUGUUGAUACUCAUGUUCGUGUAAAUGAAAAGUAUUUGUAGAAAAAAUAAAACUCUUAAAUGGGUCUUAUCCGGUCAAAGGACACCCUCAUGAGCUCACCAAUUAAUGUAAUCAAGCAAAUAAAUUACCAUUAACGUAAGCUUACAAGUCGUAAGCUCAGUGUUAUUAUCUACAAAUUUAAAAAGUCAAUUAUAUCACGUGGACCAUAAAAAAAAAGGUUGCCGAGCUUAAUUUCCUGUAUCUAGCUAGCUAGCUAGCUAGAGGAAUGGUCUAUUUAAAGAAGAAAAUUAAGCCUACACCAGGAAGCUGGAAAAGUUAGAAGUAGUGAAGAAAAUGAAAGUCAUUGUUUUCUUCGUUGCUAUAAUAAUUUUAGGUGCAGAAUGGCAAUGCAAUGGGUCAGAGCAUGAGCAUGAGCAUGGCCACAGCUACCAAAUUUUCCCUUUGCGAAUGAAAACCGGCCCCGGUGGCCACUACAUUCCGGAGGUAUCGUGCAAAAGUUGGAGGCUUGGUGUGGAAGCACACAACGUCAUUGACUGGAGAACCAUUCCUCAAGAUUGCGAGGGAUAUAUAGGAAACUACAUGCUUGGCCACCAAUAUAGAUCAGACUCC
This 7606-nucleotide long non-coding RNA is filed under the name Glycine max (soybean). RNAcentral describes it as "long non-coding RNA (GMAX_LNC001391)". The record is from RNAcentral. Lineage: Eukaryota; Viridiplantae; Streptophyta; Magnoliopsida; Fabales; Fabaceae.